This 681-nucleotide ribosomal RNA is filed under the name uncultured Lachnospiraceae bacterium. RNAcentral describes it as "bacterial SSU rRNA". It matches the Rfam family "Bacterial small subunit ribosomal RNA", at positions 48 to 733 of the family's 1533-position model. Lineage: Bacteria; Bacillati; Bacillota; Clostridia; Lachnospirales; Lachnospiraceae. The record is from RNAcentral.
CUAACACAUGCAAGUCGACGAAGCACCUUUAAGAUUCUUCGGAUGAUUGAUCGGUGACUGAGUGGCGGACGGGUGAGUAACGCGUGGGUAACCUGCCCUGUACAGGGGGAUAACAGUUGGAAACGGCUGCUAAUACCGCAUAAGCGCACGAGAGGACAUCCUCUUGUGUGAAAAACUCCGGUGGUACAGGAUGGGCCCGCGUCUGAUUAGCUGGUUGGCAGGGUAACGGCCUACCAAGGCGACGAUCAGUAGCCGGUCUGAGAGGAUGAACGGCCACAUUGGAACUGAGACACGGUCCAAACUCCUACGGGAGGCAGCAGUGGGGAAUAUUGCACAAUGGGGGAAACCCUGAUGCAGCAACGCCGCGUGAGUGAAGAAGUAUUUCGGUAUGUAAAGCUCUAUCAGCAGGGAAGAUAAUGACGGUACCUGACUAAGAAGCUCCGGCUAAAUACGUGCCAGCAGCCGCGGUAAUACGUAUGGAGCAAGCGUUAUCCGGAUUUACUGGGUGUAAAGGGUGCGUAGGUGGCAGUGCAAGUCAGAUGUGAAAGGCCGGGGCUCAACCCCGGAGCUGCAUUUGAAACUGCAUAGCUGGAGUACAGGAGAGGCAGGCGGAAUUCCUAGUGUAGCGGUGAAAUGCGUAGAUAUUAGGAGGAACACCAGUGGCGAAGGCGGCCUGCUGGA